GAUGAACGCUGGCGGCGUGCCUAAUACAUGCAAGUCGAGCGAACGGACGAGAAGCUUGCUUCUCUGAUGUUAGCGGCGGACGGGUGAGUAACACGUGGAUAACCUACCUACAAGACUGGGAUAACUUCGGGAAACCGGAGCUAAUACCGGAUGAUAUUUUGAACCGCAUGGUUCAAAAGUGAAAGACGGUCUUGCUGUCACUUAUAGAUGGAUCCGCGCUGCAUUAGCUAGUUGGUAAGGUAACGGCUUACCAAGGCAACGAUGCAUAGCCGACCUGAGAGGGUGAUCGGCCACACUGGAACUGAGACACGGUCCAGACUCCUACGGGAGGCAGCAGUAGGGAAUCUUCCGCAAAGGGCGAAAGCCUGACGGAGCAACGCCGCGUGAGUGAUGAAGGUCUUCGGAUCGUAAAACUCUGUUAUUAGGGAAGAACAUAUGUGUAAGUAACUGUGCACAUCUUGACGGUACCUAAUCAGAAAGCCACGGCUAACUACGUG
Molecule: ribosomal RNA, 497 nt
Filed under: uncultured bacterium
Lineage: Bacteria
Description: partial 16S ribosomal RNA
Rfam family: Bacterial small subunit ribosomal RNA
Source: RNAcentral